AGGUACAGACAGUCAAGAAGCCCAAGGCUGAAUCAAUUCAGUCUUUGCAGGUUAGUCUAAGUGGUACCAAUUAAAUUGAAAUAGAAAUGAAUAGACGUUUACCUUUGAUUAAGGAAAUGCAGCCAUAUGCCUGCACCCCUCACCCCUGUCAGA
Long non-coding RNA from Gavialis gangeticus (Gharial), 153 nucleotides. RefSeq lists it as uncharacterized. The record is from RefSeq and is a predicted model, not a curated record. The transcript has 3 exons. NCBI's taxonomy places the organism in Eukaryota, Metazoa, Chordata, Crocodylia, Gavialidae.